GCAAACUUGGUCAUUUAGAGGAAGUAAAAGUCGUAACAAGGUUUCCGUAGGUGAACCUGCGGAAGGAUCAUCACUGAUUCGGGGCCGGGACGCGUGGGAGGCCACGUUGUACUCGCGCCCCAACCAAUCUUGUGUGAACCGUAACGCGCGCAAGCAUUGCGUGGAGUGGUUGGCGGUACGGGGGGAGACCCACCGCCGCCGCCGCCGCCGCCGCCAUGCAAGCACACAAUUACCCUUACCAAUCUUGUCUAACAUUACACACACUAAAUUAACACAACUUUUAACAAUGGAUCUCUUGGCUCUCGCAUCGAUGAAGAACGCAGC
This 324-nucleotide unclassified non-coding RNA is filed under the name uncultured fungus. RNAcentral's name for it is "partial contains small subunit ribosomal RNA, internal transcribed spacer 1, and 5.8S ribosomal RNA". The stretch from base 1 to 73 matches the Rfam family "Eukaryotic small subunit ribosomal RNA", at positions 1759 to 1831 of the family's 1831-position model. Lineage: Eukaryota; Fungi. The record is from RNAcentral.